Papaver somniferum (opium poppy) is the source of this 2282-nucleotide long non-coding RNA. RefSeq lists it as uncharacterized. The transcript has 3 exons. NCBI's taxonomy places the organism in Eukaryota, Viridiplantae, Streptophyta, Magnoliopsida, Ranunculales, Papaveraceae. The record is from RefSeq and is a predicted model, not a curated record.
CUUCUCGUGUCGUAAAAAAACUUGCUUUUGCAAGUGCUCCUUUCGUCCCACCAAAAGUCACAUUAUUGCCAGUUUUAAUUUUUAAGUUUUUGUCCCGUGUGGAUUUAGACUUGUACUUCGAUAAUUUAACUCUAUUUCGAUCUUUAUGUCUUGGUGUAUUGAAACGUGUAUUUAAACAAUUGAGAUAGUUUUAUUCUUUCUCUUUCCUUCCUAAUGGCGGACACUGGCAAUUUCGGAAAUUCAAGUCCUAACUGCUUCCUUCCUUCCGAUUCUCGCCUUAUCCAUGCUAACCCCUUUCUGAUCCUUCCUCUGAUUCUGAUAUGAUUGAUGAACCUUCCUCUUCGUUAUCUUUUAAAGCUGUUCUCACCGGUAAUUCUCAAGACUGGUCUUUUUUUGAUGAUGAUGUUUUCUUAGAUUGUUUGGAUGAUAAUUUUUCUUUUCUUGACAUCUCCUUUUCUUCUAUUUCUUCUUCUAUGAUGUCUCCUCUUCUUUUAUUUCUUCUCUUCUUGUUUCUUCUGCUUUACGCCGUAGUCUUUCUCCUUUAAUGAGAAAGCCUUGAUUGGUAAGGUUUUUGAAAAACGAGUUGUUUUUUUUCUUUUUUACAAGAGAAAGUAAAUCAAUUUUGGCCACCAUCUUGUUCUCUUCAAAUUCUAGACUUACAUCUUAUUUGUUAGCAUCUGACUCGGCGUCUAGGUCUGAGUCAAUCCCUGAAUCGCGCCGAGUCAGAUGUUAAACUGUUUGUUUUGCAUUUUUUACAAUCUCUGACUCGCUAUCUGACUCGUUUGACACCCCUGAUUCGGGGCCGCUGGACUCAGGUAUGAUAUUACCCCUUACUCGACGCCCCCAACCUCUGAGUCGAAUAAAAUGCCUAAAAAGCCAUCGAUCCUCUAAAAGAAAUCUUUUCUUUGUUUUUCGCUUUUCCUUCUUCAAAGCCAAACAACCCAAAACCUUAGAGAAAUUUUGAAGAUGAUCAAUACUAGGAUGAUGAUGGACCAAUCUAGAGCUUGAAAAUCCAUAGGUCGAAGAUCAAAUGACAGUUAAAAAUGCAGGAGACAAAAUCCUUGAUGAGUUAUGCUUUUAUGUUAAUCAGAAGAGACGCCUUAUCAGCUGUCAAUUGAAUUUUCGAAUUUUCCUUUUUGUAUGGGUAAUUCUCUUUUUCUUGGUUGUUAUAAUCUGUAGAAAUCACGUGUGUUAAAUUAGCGGAUAUAAGAACGUAUUUGUGACUGGAACCAAUAAAUUUUGGUUGAACCCGAAGAGCUUUUAUAGAUGAUAUAUUGAUUGAAGUAUCUGGAUGCAUACUAAUAGGUAACCCAUCCAUUGACACCCAUCAAUUUGUUAAUACUGUUUGUUUAUACUCCUUGAGAUUUUAGUUCUUGUUCACUGCCUGAAUUACAACUUAUCUUUCUAUUCAUAUUGGUUAGUCUGUGUGUAUCCUAUCUAUUUGGACCUUAAUAUCUUUGCUUGAUUAAGUUAUAUUAAUUUGCUAAAUGUGCACUUGUUUAGUCACUAGAUCUUAGUCAAUGGUGCAUAUAUAUAUAUACUUGAGACUUUAGUAGUGUAUUUUUCUCUUCUAUUCGGGGAGUAGGAUAGGUAUAUGCAGGAACAAGAUAAUGAAUGUGGUGGUGACACGAACAAGGUUAUAUCUACAUGCACCUAUUCUCAUGACAUUACUAAAUGAUAUGUAGUCAGACUCUCCUGAUUUUCUUAUCUUUUAAUGGGACAGGGUGAGUUCAGACUUUAUAAAUUUAGACAUGGAUGGGCUCAAGCACCUUCACAUCCAAUUUUAGCUUCUGAUUCAAGCUGGGUUAUGGAAAAUAAAUACUUCGAAUGAAGUUUGUCAUUAAUAAAACUAUUACAAAGAAUUCAAUUUGAAUUUAGCAAUAAUUUCAGCGAAGAACAGAUUCUUUCAUGGAUCACCUUUGCUGGAUACAAUAUGAGCAGCGAGAUAUCGAUAUCGCUUGCAUAUCAAUAAAUAACUUUCUGCGUCACAAUGCAUUAGAUGAAUAGUUGUUUAACAAUAUGAGAACGAGGCAUUUGAGAUGAAUGAGGCACAUGUGGAUGAGGAAAAUGAAUGGGGAAGCUGAACAAAAUACACCUCGUUUAUUUGGAAGACAAGAACAAAUACAUAUGAACACUUUAGUUGAUCAGAUAGCUAAUCUCCUUUAGGUUAUAUUGUUUCUUUAUGGUUUUAGGACUUUAAUAAUUUAUUGGAACAGUUGUGAUGUUAAAGUAAUGAUAAGUGUUCAUGGUCUAAAAUGUGUACAAGGGUAUUUUCUGUCCAA